This is a long non-coding RNA of Octopus sinensis (East Asian common octopus), 213 nucleotides long. RefSeq lists it as uncharacterized. Lineage: Eukaryota; Metazoa; Mollusca; Cephalopoda; Octopoda; Octopodidae. The record is from RefSeq and is a predicted model, not a curated record. The transcript is spliced from 2 exons.
AUGAAAUUGUCAACCAUAAUUAUGACCCUAGUAUCGAUCUAUUGCAUUUCAAUCUGUUUUAGGGUUAGGGGUGGGGGCAAGGGUAUCUCUUUUCCUUCUCAAAUGUAAAUAAACCCAAUCUGUUUCUUAAACGAGGGACAUAUUCAUACGGUACAGAAUGUUUUUUUUACCUCAAUAGACGUCAGUGAUUGGUUGAAAUUGCAGAAAUUGAAG